Carya illinoinensis is the source of this 1126-nucleotide long non-coding RNA. RefSeq lists it as uncharacterized. The transcript has 2 exons. The record is from RefSeq and is a predicted model, not a curated record. NCBI's taxonomy places the organism in Eukaryota, Viridiplantae, Streptophyta, Magnoliopsida, Fagales, Juglandaceae.
UCAAUAUCGAUCGGCAUUUAGAAGUGAAAUAUGAUUAAAAGAGUAUGUGGCGAUGUUGGGCAUAUGACUGACUCUUUAUGGUGGGAAGAGUACUGAAACGCUUCGUUUUAUAGAUCAAUCGCGUUCCUCAAAUUUGUAUUUCAUUUUGUAUCAGCAGACAAAGCGAAAAACUUUUUUUUUUAUAAGUAAUAUUAAACUUUAUUAAUGUAAAGAAGGCAUAAGCCAGGUAAACUGGGAGUAUACAUUUAAUACACCGUUUUAAGAAGGAGAAAAAGUUACAAGGAAAUCAUGGAAGCGAAAAACUUUUUUCUCUUUUGUUUUAUCUUGGCCAUGGCCGUUUCUUUCAAGUCCCCAGCUUCUUUCAAUUGAAGAAGAGCCCUGACACUCAGUCUUUUAUCCGCUCUCCCUCUCAUAGAUUAGCAGUCUCAAGUACAAGAUUCACUCCAAUGGCUGCUGUUAGCACUAACCAAACCGUUGGGCCCUCUGAGACUUUCACAAGAUUGAGAAAACAAGGCAAGGACUAUGAUUUUACUCUCUUCCACUGAAGGACUUCACCAACAGCACACAGAGCAUCAAAAGCGAGCCAAGUAAGUAGAAAAGAUCGAUGUUUGGUUUUGUUUGUUAACAUACUGACUACUCCUUCCACUGAAGCAAAAUGAUUAAUGCGCACUAUAAAAGCAUGUGCGUGGGUACUGAGCGAGAACAACACAGUAUGGGUAGCGGCCGACGAUUGAUAUUGAAAAAGCUGUUAACUUGCAAAGUAGUAUUACCUGGUUCGACGCCGAAAAGUGGGUAGAGGCCGAGCUCAGUGACUCCGUCCGACACGCCGAUCUUAGAGAGAGGAAGGGUACUGGCAGACGGUGAUUCUCAAAUCUGAGAGAGAGGAAGAGAUCUAAGAACGAAGGGUUCGGCCGACGAAGAUUUUGGACGAAGGGUUCUGCCGUCUGAGAGAAAGGAAGAGAAGAGAGAGGAAAAGGAUGUGCUUGGAUCUGGCAAGAGGAAGUGCUUGGUUCUGGGAAGAGGCCGUAGGUUCUCUUCUCCUUCUCCCAAUAUAAACCAUCAGCGCCGUGUACCGGGCCUCCACCUGUUACGUCGAUACGGAAUUGAUAAAAUAAUAAAAAGAAAA